GUUUGCACAGUACGGACUUCCAAAAAAUGUGGCAUCACUGCCAGUAACCAUUCAGUGUAGAAUCAAAUAGGCAGUGACGUAACGUAAACGACCCGAAGCUCGCUUGUGGCGGGAAGCGGAAAGUUAUCGUUGUUAGUAUCGCACGAGAGGUUGAAUAUUUAUAGUAGUGUUGACGUUAAGUGUUGUGUUUGAAGAGUUUAAUUCAUUUCAAUUUCAAAUGUUCUAUAUAAUUCCGUUAAAAUGUGAGGUGAGAAAAAUUAUUCCACGGGCCCUCUAUUGACACUCAACGUUUGACUCAACCUUAACCUAGCUCCAUGACCAUGUGUUGUGAUGUGACUGUGAAGGUGUAGGGGAAACAGGGAUCAGUGAAAGUAUCAGUAAAAUACUGAUAAUUCUGAAUGGAUAACACGUUUCUUUUCAUAGACCAUAAUUGAUUCUCGGUGUGGAAAUGAAAAAGGGAAAGUGAUUUGUCCAACAUGUGGAAAAUUCUUCAAAAAAUACCAUUCAUGGAAAAUACAUCACAAACUAGAUUGCCUAUCUUCAUUCAAAAAGUGUCCUUUCUGUGAUUUUAGUACGAAAAGGAAAUAUAAUUUGAAAGUUCAUCUGCUGAAAAUUCACGGAAUGGAAUGGAGCGAAUGCAACAUUAUACUAUAGAUUUUUCAUUUGUGCACUAUUACAUAUAAUAUGUAAAUUCGUAAAUACUGUUUUAGAAAA
Molecule: long non-coding RNA, 714 nt
Organism: Leptinotarsa decemlineata (Colorado potato beetle)
Lineage: Eukaryota; Metazoa; Arthropoda; Insecta; Coleoptera; Chrysomelidae
Source: RefSeq, a predicted model, not a curated record